GCACAACGCGAAGAACCUUACCAAGGCUUGACAUACACGAGAACGGGCCAGAAAUGGUCAACUCUUUGGACACUCGUGAACAGGUGGUGCAUGGUUGUCGUCAGCUCGUGUCGUGAGAUGUUGGGUUAAGUCCCGCAACGAGCGCAACCCUCGUUCUAUGUUGCCAGCACGUAAUGGUGGGAACUCAUGGGAUACUGCCGGGGUCAACUCGGAGGAAGGUGGGGAUGACGUCAAAUCAUCAUGCCCCUUAUGUCUUGGGCUUCACGCAUGCUACAAUGGCCGGUACAAUGGGCUGCGAUACCGUAAGGUGGAGCGAAUCCCAAAAAGCCGGUCCCAGUUCGGAUUGAGGUCUGCAACUCGACCUCAUGAAGUCGGAGUCGCUAGUAAUCGCAGAUCAGCAACGCUGCAGUGAAUACGUUCCCGGGUCUUGUACACACCG
Molecule: ribosomal RNA, 439 nt
Filed under: uncultured bacterium
Lineage: Bacteria
Description: bacterial SSU rRNA
Rfam family: Bacterial small subunit ribosomal RNA
Source: RNAcentral